This 586-nucleotide ribosomal RNA is filed under the name uncultured bacterium. RNAcentral's name for it is "partial 16S ribosomal RNA". It matches the Rfam family "Bacterial small subunit ribosomal RNA", at positions 355 to 1375 of the family's 1533-position model. The record is from RNAcentral.
UGGGGAAUUUUGGACAAUGGGCGAAAGCCUGAUCCAGCAAUGCCGCGUGUGUGAAGAAGGCCUUCGGGUUGUAAAGCACUUUUGUCCGGAAGGAAAUCCUUGGCUCUAAUACAGUCGGGGGAUGACGGUACCGGAAGAAUAAGCACCGGCUAACUACGUGCCAGCAGCCGCGGUAAUACGUAGGGUGCAAGCGUUAAUCGGAAUUACUGGGCGUAAAGCGUGCGCAGGCGGUUUGCUAAGACCGAUGUGAAAUCCCCGGGCUCAACCUGGGAACUGCAUUGGUGACUGGCAGGCUAGAGUAUGGCAGAGGGGGGUAGAAUUCCACGUGUAGCAGUGAAAUGCGUAGAGAUGUGGAGGAAUACCGAUGGCGAAGGCAGCCCCCUGGGCCAAUACUGACGCUCAUGCACGAAAGCGUGGGGAGCAAACAGGAUUAGAUACCCUGGUAGUCCACGCCCUAAAACGAUGUCAACUAGUUGUUGGGGAUUCAUUUCCUUAGUAACGUAGCUAACGCGUGAAGUUGACCGCCUGGGGAGUACGGUCGCAAGAUUAAAACUUAAAUGAAUUGACGGGGUCAUAGCUGUUUCCU